AGAGUUUGAUCAUGGCUCAGAACGAACGCUGGCGGCGUGGUUAAGGCAUGCAAGUCGAACGGAGUGUGUGGAAGGUAACGGAAGCGCACUUAGUGGCGAACGGGUGAGUAAUAGGUAGGUAACGUACCCUGGACACAGGUAUAGCGGCGGGACUUCGGUUCCUUUGCGAAAGUGCCGGUAAUACCUGAUGACAUCAGGAGAUCGCAUGUUCUCCUGAUCAAAUGGUCCGCUGGUCUGGGAUCGGCCUACCUCCUAUCAGCUUGUUGGUGGGGUAACGGCCUACCAAGGCAUCGACAGGUACCAGGCGUGAGAGCGUGAUCUGGCACAUCGGGACUGAGACACUGCCCGGACAUCUACGGAUGGCUGCAGCAACGAAUAUUCCGCAAUGGACGAAAGUCUGACGGAGCAACGCCGCGUGUAGGAUGAAGCACUUCGGUGUGUAAACUACUGUCAGGGGUUAGGAAGAAA
RNAcentral lists this ribosomal RNA (468 nucleotides) under uncultured bacterium. RNAcentral's name for it is "bacterial SSU rRNA". It matches the Rfam family "Bacterial small subunit ribosomal RNA", at positions 8 to 453 of the family's 1533-position model. The record is from RNAcentral.